Molecule: ribosomal RNA, 693 nt
Filed under: uncultured bacterium
Lineage: Bacteria
Description: bacterial SSU rRNA
Rfam family: Bacterial small subunit ribosomal RNA
Source: RNAcentral
AACGCUAGCUACAGGCUUAACACAUGCAAGUCGAGGGGCAGCAUGAACUUAGCUUGCUAAGUUUGAUGGCGACCGGCGCACGGGUGAGUAACACGUAUCCAACCUGCCGAUGACUCGGGGAUAGCCUUUCGAAAGAAAGAUUAAUACCCGAUGGCAUAGUUCUUCCGCAUGGUAGAACUAUUAAAGAAUUUCGGUCAUCGAUGGGGAUGCGUUCCAUUAGGUUGUUGGCGGGGUAACGGCCCACCAAGCCUUCGAUGGAUAGGGGUUCUGAGAGGAAGGUCCCCCACAUUGGAACUGAGACACGGUCCAAACUCCUACGGGAGGCAGCAGUGAGGAAUAUUGGUCAAUGGACGCGAGUCUGAACCAGCCAAGUAGCGUGAAGGAUGACUGCCCUAUGGGUUGUAAACUUCUUUUAUAUGGGAAUAAAGUGGUCCACGUGUGGAUUUUUGUAUGUACCAUAUGAAUAAGGAUCGGCUAACUCCGUGCCAGCAGCCGCGGUAAUACGGAGGAUCCGAGCGUUAUCCGGAUUUAUUGGGUUUAAAGGGAGCGUAGGCGGACUAUUAAGUCAGCUGUGAAAGUUUGCGGCUCAACCGUAAAAUUGCAGUUGAUACUGGUCGUCUUGAGUGCAGUAGAGGUAGGCGGAAUUCGUGGUGUAGCGGUGAAAUGCUUAGAUAUCACGAAGAACUCCGAUUG